UUACUCUGGAGAGUCUUUACUACCGGUAAAGCGCCGAAGGUGUACCGCCUGAUUUUCAGGCCUAUCUCUCAGGCAAAAGGACAGAGCA
RNAcentral lists this non-coding RNA (88 nucleotides) under pig gut metagenome. RNAcentral describes it as "Glycine riboswitch". It matches the Rfam family "Glycine riboswitch aptamer", at positions 7 to 88 of the family's 94-position model. From Rfam's summary of the family: This family represents the bacterial glycine riboswitch. Glycine riboswitches usually consist of two metabolite-binding aptamers domains with similar structures in tandem. The record is from RNAcentral.